Acipenser ruthenus (sterlet) is the source of this 867-nucleotide long non-coding RNA. RefSeq lists it as uncharacterized. The record is from RefSeq and is a predicted model, not a curated record. NCBI's taxonomy places the organism in Eukaryota, Metazoa, Chordata, Actinopteri, Acipenseriformes, Acipenseridae. The transcript is spliced from 3 exons.
UAUUACCUGCUGAGAAAUCCUGCAUGCUUAAAGAUGCGUUCCUUGCUCGUGGUGCUAGAUUUAUCUAUUGUUUUUAACAUUAUUUUUUUAUUAUUUAUUUAUUUCUUAGCAGACGCCCUUAUGCAGGGCGACUUACAAUUGUUACAAGAUAUCACAUUAUUUUUCCAUACAAUUACCCAUUUACACAGUUGUGUUUUUACUGGAGCAAUCUAGGUAAAGUACCUUGCUCAAGCGUACAGCAGCAGUGUCCCCCACCUGGGAUUGAACCCACAACCCCCCGGUCAAGAGUCCAGAGCCCUAACCACUACUCCACACUUAAAGAACAUGGCCAGUUCUUUUUCAUAAAGCUUCAGUAGCAGAAGACCUGCAAUGGACAGAGCUGGAUAACUGCAGACACUCCCCCUCUCCAGAACACCCACAGAUGUGUGCCAGCUCUCCCCGGUGCCAGGGUCCGCACGAGGGUGCUGGCAGCUCCUCCUCAUGGCUGUGUGGAAGACCAACGGCAUCCCACAGAGGAAGGAAAAGGAAGGCUGUUGUGGAAAGCGAGUUGACCAGCUACCUCCGAGAGACACAUGAGAGAUAUUUCAAAUUGCAAGAGGAAGAUUUGGAAUUAGCAAGGGAUCGGCGCAGGAAUGCAAGAGAAACACAAAGACAGAGAAGCGAAGCGGCACAACGCCACAUUGUUGAGAGGGGUUUUGUCCAGUCUGGCAACAUCACUGGGGCAAAACCUGGCUAAGAACUAAAAUCCCUCUAACUACAAACACAAUGUGGCACUAUAUUUAAAUAGUUAGCUUGAUUGUUUGUUAAAUGCAACAUUGCCAAUUUUAAAGUUACUUGUAAUAAAAGUGUUUUGUUCUGGCUAUUUGU